CACAUGCAGUCGAACGGUGAAGCCCAGCUUGCUGGUGGAUCAGUGGCGAACGGGUGAGUAACACGUGAGCAACCUGCCCCUGACUCUGGGAUAAGCGCUGGAAACGGCGUCUAAUACUGGAUACGAGACGUGAUCGCAUGGUCAACGUUU
This 150-nucleotide ribosomal RNA is filed under the name Microbacterium sp. RNAcentral describes it as "partial 16S ribosomal RNA". It matches the Rfam family "Bacterial small subunit ribosomal RNA", at positions 52 to 201 of the family's 1533-position model. The record is from RNAcentral. Lineage: Bacteria; Bacillati; Actinomycetota; Actinomycetes; Micrococcales; Microbacteriaceae.